This 430-nucleotide ribosomal RNA is filed under the name uncultured bacterium. RNAcentral describes it as "bacterial SSU rRNA". It matches the Rfam family "Bacterial small subunit ribosomal RNA", at positions 355 to 776 of the family's 1533-position model. The record is from RNAcentral.
UAGGGAAUAUUGCGCAAUGGGCGAAAGCCUGACGCAGCGAUACCGCGUGAGUGAGGAAGGUCUUCGGAUUGUAAAGCUCUGUCGAGGUGGAAAAAUGGCGUAGUUUCAAAUAGGGAUUACGUUUGAUGGUACACCUGAAGGAAGCACCGGCAAACUUCGUGCCAGCAGCCGCGGUAAUACGAAGGGUGCAAGCGUUGUUCGGAUUUAUUGGGCGUAAAGCGCGCGCAGGCGGAUCGGCAAGUCGGUUGUGAAAUCUCGGAGCUCAACUCCGAAACUGCGGCCGAAACUAUCGAUCUAGAAUAUCGGAGGGGGAAGGGGAAUUUCGCAUGUAGGGGUAAAAUCCGUAGAUAUGCGAAGGAACACCAGAGGCGAGAGCGCCUUCCUGGACGAUUAUUGACGCUGAGGCGCGAAAGCGUGGGGAGCAAACAGG